This 253-nucleotide ribosomal RNA is filed under the name uncultured bacterium. RNAcentral's name for it is "partial 16S ribosomal RNA". It matches the Rfam family "Bacterial small subunit ribosomal RNA", at positions 524 to 776 of the family's 1533-position model. The record is from RNAcentral.
UACGGGGGGGGUAAGCGUUGUUCGGAAUUACUGGGCGUAAAGGGCUCGUAGGCGGCCAACUAAGUCAUACGUGAAAUCCCUCAGCUUAACUGGGGAACUGCGUGUGAUACUGGAUGGCUUGGAUGUGGGAGAGGGAUGCGGAAUUCCAGGUGUAGCGGUGAAAUGCGUAGAUAUCGAGAGGAACACCGGUGGCGAAGGCGGCCUUCUGGACAGUUACUGACGCUGAGACGCGAAAGCGUGGGGAGCAAACAGG